AUAAAUAAUAUUCUAUUUCAUUAUCUUUACGCCACUGUAACAUCAAAGCUGUGGCAAGACCGCCUGGAAAAAUAACACAUACAAUACAGCCUUCAAUUACAGAUAGGAAAAUCUGAGGGAUUAAAACAACAAAAUCGUGUUCGAUGGCUGUAGAAGUAGAAGUGUCUACGAGUAUGGUAGGGUUAAAGUCCUUGUGCACGAUUUUGUUGGUUACUUCAGCUCGAGAUAAGGACCAAAAUACCAAGUCGCCGACUGAGAGCGUCACCUCAACAUCCAUACAACCGAGCAACCAGCCCCUCUGAAUAUCCCGGCCACCCGAGGUCUGUCCUCCAGUUGAGUUCGGGGCAUCAUCGUGUGACGAGGGGAACAGUGUCUCGCGCCUUAUCUGUGACGUCCGAACAUACAAUAUUCUGUGAUUUCAUAUACUUGCCCGUAUAGGAUAAGCGCGACUGUGAUGCUGUAUACUGAAGUAAAUAGAAACUGCAGGGUGCGUUCCAUUACAUCACAACUGCAAACAGACGCUAUACCAGAGUGAAACGUUUGUCGCGUCUGAGAGAGAAAGUGGGAGCCUAGGAAGGACAACCUGCUGCUUCGACUCGAGCUUCUCGGCCAUCAGGGACGAAUUUCCAUAGAAACCCUUGCCAUGGAGAGCUUGCUGUCGGCGCGGCGUCAGGUUUCCUCCUCAGUGUGAUACUACCUUCAGGAAGCGUCAAAAGAGUUGUGGUGGACGUUGACACGACCAUUGGAGAGGUGAAGCGCGAGUUGCAGCGUGAGAAUGGUGUCGCGAGAGCCAGCAGGCAGCGUCUGAUGGCGGGAAACGUGGAAAUGCAGAAUCAUAAACGCCUGAGGGAUUACGGGAUCGAAGGCGACUCAGUGAUCAGGAUGGAGGUCGUUGAGCAACUGUCGGAAGGGGAAUGCUGCAUUUCGUAAAAGUGGGAGCCUAGGAAGGACAACCUGCUGCUUCGACUCGAGCUUCUCGGCCAUCAGGGACGAAUUUCCAAAGAAACCCUUGCCAUGGAGAGCCUUGCUGUCGGCGCGGCGUCAGGUUUCCUCCUCAGUGUGAUACUACCUUCAGGAAGCGUCAAAAGAGUUGUGGUGGACGUUGACACGACCAUUGGAGAGGUGAAGCGCGAGUUGCAGCGUGAGAAUGGUGUCGCGAGAGCCAGCAGGCAGCGUCUGAUGGCGGGAAACGUGGAAAUGCAGAAUC
Non-coding RNA from Penaeus vannamei (Pacific white shrimp), 1207 nucleotides. The record is from RefSeq and is a predicted model, not a curated record. NCBI's taxonomy places the organism in Eukaryota, Metazoa, Arthropoda, Malacostraca, Decapoda, Penaeidae.